GGCCUUGACAUACUAGAACUUCCAGAGAUGGAUUGGUGCCUUCGGGAACUUAGAUACAGGUGCUGCAUGGCUGUCGUCAGCUCGUGUCGUGAGAUGUUGGGUUAAGUCCGCAACGAGCGCAACCCUUUUCCUUAUUUGCCAGCGGGUAAUGCCGGGAACUUUAAGGAUACUGCCAGUGACAAACUGGAGGAAGGCGGGGACGACGUCAAGUCAUCAUGGCCCUUACGGCCAGGGCUACACACGUGCUACAAUGGUCGGUACAAAGGGUUGCUACCUCGCGAGAGGAUGCUAAUCUCAAAAAAGCCGAUCGUAGUCCGGAUCGCAGUCUGCAACUCGACUGCGUGAAGUCGGAAUCGCUAGUAAUCGCGGAUCAGAAUGCCGCGGUGAAUACGUUCCCGGGCCUUGUACACACCGCCCGUCACACCAUGGGAGUUUGUUGCACCAGAAGUAGGUAGUCUAACCGCAAGGAGGACGCUUACCACGGUGUGGCCGAUGACUGGGGUGAAGUCGUAACAAGGUAGGCGUAGAUGA
This 531-nucleotide ribosomal RNA is filed under the name uncultured bacterium. Its description in RNAcentral is "bacterial SSU rRNA". It matches the Rfam family "Bacterial small subunit ribosomal RNA", at positions 977 to 1509 of the family's 1533-position model. The record is from RNAcentral.